This 309-nucleotide unclassified non-coding RNA is filed under the name uncultured fungus. Its description in RNAcentral is "partial contains 5.8S ribosomal RNA and internal transcribed spacer 2". The stretch from base 1 to 133 matches the Rfam family "5.8S ribosomal RNA", at positions 22 to 154 of the family's 154-position model. Lineage: Eukaryota; Fungi. The record is from RNAcentral.
UGGUUCUGGCAUCGAUGAAGAACGCAGCGAAAUGCGAUAAGUAAUGUGAAUUGCAGAAUUCAGUGAAUCAUCGAACCUUUGAACGCACAUUGCGCCCUGUGGUAUUCCGCAGGGCAUGCCUGUUCGAGCGUCAUUUAACUACUCAAGCCUUGCUUGGUAUUGGAGUCUGUGUUUCGCAGCUCUCAAACGCAAUAGCAGUCUAAGCAUGACCCUAAGUAUAGUAAAAUCUCUUGCUUUUGGGCUCUGUGGUGGCUUACUCAAACCCUAUUUCUAAUAGUUGACCUCGGAUCAGGUAGGGAUACCCGCUGA